This 1893-nucleotide long non-coding RNA is filed under the name Brassica napus (rape). RNAcentral describes it as "long non-coding RNA (BNAP_LNC010439)". Lineage: Eukaryota; Viridiplantae; Streptophyta; Magnoliopsida; Brassicales; Brassicaceae. The record is from RNAcentral.
GAGAAAAGAAUCGCUUACGGUAAUAAUCUACUCAACCUCAAUAAUGUCGGCGUCUUUCUUCGUCGACCAUUUGAUGAUGCUCAAGCUUCUUCUCCAUAUCUAAGGGAAGCCUUCGUCGAAUUGAGUGUUCUAGUGGUAAGCUCUUCGAUUUAAGCAAUUGGAUUCGACUACGUUUCUAUCUGUUGAGUUUUGUUCAUUGUAGUUCGUGUUGGAUAUCAAUCAAUUUAGUGGGUUAAUCAAUCUGGAAGAGUUCAGAUAUGCCUCUGAUGUCAUGAAGGGGACUAUAAAUCUAUUCUAUAACUCGGUUUUAUGACUUUGUAUAUGAAUCACAGAUCAUCUGAAAGAUGGAGAAAGUGAGUGUAUCACCUCAACGAUCCAACAGCGUUGAUAGCUUAAGGGUUGAAUCCCCGAAGAGAAAAGGUUUCGGGUUGAAGAAAUGGAGAAGGAUCAAGAGAGAUACUCCUGUGAAAGACGAGUCCGCUGCACCUGUUGAUGAUGGUAGUAAGUUGCUGAAGCGUAAUUUGACUGGCUUGGUGAACCCUCCUUCUAAACAUGUAGACUUGUCUUCGGUUGAAGCAAGACAGAGUAGCGAAGGCUCUGUUGGAUCUGUAAACAUGAUGACUCAUCAUCUUCCAAGUGUAGUCAACGGGUUUAGUCCCAUUCCAGGUUUGUUUACUGUAGGCCAAGGUUUUGACAAGAGCGAAGAGCUUAGUGGUAGUUCAACAGCUGCGAAGAAUGUAGUAGGAGGACGAGGGAAGAUUGUUUCAGGUCGCCAAGGGAGUGAUACCAUCAAGAAUGGAAGUGAUUUUGUGUUUUCGAGUGGCGCAGUUUCUGUUGGAGAGAAAGAUGAGAGACUGAUGAUGAAUCAUAUAACAACAGAAGGUCAAGAAGCUAGGGAGCAAGUCGAAACAUAUAGCAGAAGCGAGAACGGAGGAGAAGGUGAAGAUGGAGAUGAGAGUCAUAAGAAGAAGAACAACCAUUGUUGGGCAGACAAGGAUCACGUUGCGGAUUCUAUCAGAAGUCUUGCAGCUCUGCAAGAAGCUCUUUGGAAAGGUUUGCACACAAACCAUACUUCUCACUAAAGACACAUGAUGUUUCUAAACUAAAGUGAAACAUGUGCAGAGGUUACAAGUUUCCAGGAGCUGAGUAAGGAAUCUAUACCACCACUACAUUCGAACAAUGAUGAAGUCGAUCCAGGAUCACAGGUACUUAUCUUGAAGCAAAAGGUGAAAAAUCUCCAACACAAACUCGAGGAAGCGAGAGCUGAUCUCGACACAAAGGAAGCCAGGAUUCAAGAACUCGAAAACGCGAAGAUUGAAUGUGAACUUGAAGGCGUUUUCCAGAGAAAGAUCGAAGCUGAAAUCCAGCAUUUGUUGCUCACAAGUUCUCUGAGUGCAUCACUACAAGUAAUCAAAGAACAACCAAAGAAGGUACAUUCUGUAAUAUCUGUUGAGUUUUGUUCAUUGUAGUUCGUGUUGGAUAUCAAUCAAUUUAGUGGGUUAAUCAAUCUGGAAGAGUUCAGAUAUGCCUCUGAUGUCAUGAAGGGGACUAUAAAUCUAUUCUAUAACUCGGUUUUAUGACUUUGUAUAUGAAUCACAGAUCAUCUGAAAGAUGGAGAAAGUGAGUGUAUCACCUCAACGAUCCAACAGCGUUGAUAGCUUAAGGGUUGAAUCCCCGAAGAGAAAAGGUUUCGGGUUGAAGAAAUGGAGAAGGAUCAAGAGAGAUACUCCUGUGAAAGACGAGUCCGCUGCACCUGUUGAUGAUGGUAGUAAGUUGCUGAAGCGUAAUUUGACUGGCUUGGUGAACCCUCCUUCUAAACAUGUAGACUUGUCUUCGGUUGAAGCAAGACAGAGUAGCGAAGGCUCUGUUGGAUCUGUAAACAUGAUGACUCAU